UACGGGGGGGGCAAGCGUUGUUCGGAAUUACUGGGCGUAAAGGGCGCGUAGGCGGCUUUUCAAGUCGGGCGUGAAAGCUCCGGGCUUAACCCGGAAAUGUCGCUCGAUACUGUUGAGCUAGAGUGUGGAAGAGGCUACUGGAAUUCCGUGUGUAGCGGUGAAAUGCGUAGAUAUACGGAGGAACACCAGCGGCGAAAGCGACUGCCUGGCCCAAUACUGACACUCAUGUGCGAAAGCGUGGGGAGCAAACAGG
This 253-nucleotide ribosomal RNA is filed under the name uncultured bacterium. RNAcentral's name for it is "partial 16S ribosomal RNA". It matches the Rfam family "Bacterial small subunit ribosomal RNA", at positions 524 to 776 of the family's 1533-position model. The record is from RNAcentral.